RNAcentral lists this long non-coding RNA (1279 nucleotides) under Homo sapiens (human). Its description in RNAcentral is "HSALNT0031363". The record is from RNAcentral. Lineage: Eukaryota; Metazoa; Chordata; Mammalia; Primates; Hominidae.
CUUGAAGUUAAGUUGAUUAAUGACCUAUCCUGACCCAUAAGAAAAUCUUGGGAAGAACAGAUUAACUGUGCAUCUCAUUGGUCUCAGGAAGUUACAGUGGUGCAAUGGCAAUAACUGAGGGAACUGCUAAUCUCUCUUAGUUGGACAGUCUUAGUGGAACAAAGGUUUGAUUAUUUAGCCCAUUUGUUAAAGAGAGAAUAAGAGGGUCUGGAGAGUGGGGGGCUGGUGGGUAUUCAGCUUUUCUCCCUGCAUUUCUGCCAGAGCUCAUAAAGAAGGGAACCCCCACCUAACCUUCUGCCCCUCUAUCUACCCUCUUAUUAAAUCCUCCACAUGGAAGAAGUGACUAGUCUGGUCAGAGACACUGGGGACAGUUCACUAGAGAAAGGGAUAGUGACAUUGAAAGGCACUCACUUUCAUCUCGGACAGGAUCUAAUGCCUGCUUUUUCAUCUCAUACUCCUAGGAGCAACAGGCUGUUUUGCACAUUUCCCCCCUUGUACUAGGUAAAUAAAGAGGCAGUGGGGGUCACAGGGGAAGAGGCAGAUGGGCACCUCUGGUGAGAAGCUCCAAUCUUCCUCCUCUCCCCUUUCUGUUCCCAACUCCAGGGGUCUGGCAGGCCAACCUCAUCCUGAUACCUGGAAAGGUAGGUGGACUUGUGCUCUUGAUACCUCUCCACUUGAAUCUUGUUCUUAUCUUAUCCUCACUCUCACUCUGAGUUCUGGCACGCUUGGAGGGGUCCUAAGAUUUUGUUUUGGAGUUGGAAAAGUAAGAGGCCUCACAUAGGCUUUCUAGCCUCUACCCAGCCAUGACCCAAGCUUCACUUUAAGUUUGGUUGUUUGCUUACUAAUAAAAUGGUACUGGAGUUCUCUUAUUGGGGUAUAGAUACAGGUGUGCAUGCUCCCUCAGGAAAACUGGUUAGAAAAAGAGGUGGUGGUAGGAUUUGUGUUUGGAAUUCUACCCCAAAGUUGUAACACUAUUUUGGGGGACAGUUGGUUAUUUUCUACAUUUUAAAGCCAGAACAUGUCUACAUGAGAUUGUCUGGCUCAGAAAUUCCCAAAAGAAAAAUUAAGAAAGAAUAAGUACUUUGGAAAAGUUAGAACUGUUUUUAGGGCAUAAAAACUAGGGGAAAAAAAGAACUCGUAAGUAGAUUUUUGAGCAAGAUUUUGAAAGUAUAAUUUACCUCUCUGCUUGGUAAGUGAGUAACUAUUGCUAUUCGAGUGAUCAGUAAUGGGACAAAUGUUAAAUGAAAGAUAAUUCCAAAUAAGUGGAAAUACUGUGAUA